GACAGAGGGGGCAAGCGUUGCUCGGAAUCACUGGGCGUAAAGGGCGCGUAGGCGGGAUGGCAAGUCGGUCGUGAAAUCCUUCGGCUCAACCGAAGAACGUCGGCCGAUACUGCCGUUCUUGAGGGAUGCAGAGGAGAUUGGAAUUCCCGGUGUAGCGGUGAAAUGUGUAGAGAUCGAGAGGAACACCGGUGGCGAAGGCGGGUCUCUGGGCAUCUCCUGACGCUGAGGCGCGAAAGCGUGGGGAGCAAACGGG
Molecule: ribosomal RNA, 253 nt
Filed under: uncultured bacterium
Lineage: Bacteria
Description: partial 16S ribosomal RNA
Rfam family: Bacterial small subunit ribosomal RNA
Source: RNAcentral